UUUUUAGACCCCAACCCCUAUCAAAAAAUGGCGGAUCCUUUUCCUCUAUUCUUCAUCCUAUUGAAGAACCAAAAUGAAGAACAGACCUUCAUCGAAGAACCAGACCCCUAAUCUUUUUCCCCUUUCUUCGAAGAAGCAGCACUGCUGCUGAUUUCUUUUUCUUCGUUUCCAGAAAUAAACAGAAAGGUCAAACCCCUCCAGCUCCCUUCAACUGCUUCUGCUUCAUUUUUCUGAAACACACACGCCUAAGCUGCUGGAAGAAGAAGCGUGCACUUCAAAAUUUAAGACCGAAAAAACCAAAAAGAAAAGAUAACGAAAAGCCAUAAAAAAAGGGGCGAACAGUAGCGUGAAGGUUCAUUUCAGAUUCAAAUGGUUCAGAAUCUCUCUUCCUUUGGUUUUGGGCUUGAUUUUUUAUGGAGUUCAAGUGAAUUGUUGAGCUGUAUUGUUGCUGCUCGUGGCUGCUGGUCCUUGCUUCGCGAUUUGCGUUGAUGUAGCACUGCUGUCUCUGCUGUUUGGCUCGCAAAAUAGCAGCUGAAUUCCCUUCAGCGCCUUUUCUGCCGCUCUAUCGAUUGUUUCAAGGUUUAUUUGUCGAAGUAAUUAUAGUCACUGCAGGGGCUGAUCAUUUAGCAGCUGCGAUCACUAGUUGGUCACAUUUGUGAAUUGAAGACAACACACUCAUGCUAAGUGAUUCAAAUGUCCUAUGGUUUUUUUCCC
Nicotiana attenuata is the source of this 714-nucleotide long non-coding RNA. RefSeq lists it as uncharacterized. The record is from RefSeq and is a predicted model, not a curated record. NCBI's taxonomy places the organism in Eukaryota, Viridiplantae, Streptophyta, Magnoliopsida, Solanales, Solanaceae. The transcript has 2 exons.